Molecule: ribosomal RNA, 270 nt
Filed under: uncultured archaeon
Lineage: Archaea
Description: partial 16S ribosomal RNA
Rfam family: Archaeal small subunit ribosomal RNA
Source: RNAcentral
CAGCUCUCCGAGUGGUGUGGAUGUUUAUUGGGCCUAAAGCAUCCGUAGCUGGCUGGGCAAGUCCCCUGUUAAAUCCACCGAUUUAAUCGUUGGCGUGCGGGGGAUACUGCUCGGCUAGGGGACGGGAGAGGCCGACGGUAUUUCCGGGGUAGGGGUGAAAUCCUAUAAUCCCGGGAAGACCACCAGUGGCGAAGGCUGUCGGCUAGAACGCGCCCGACGGUGAGGGAUGAAAGCUGGGGGAGCGAACCGGAUUAGAUACCCGAGUAGUCC